CAGCAGCCGCGGGAAUACGAAGGGUGCAAGCGUUAAUCGGAAUUACUGGGCGUAAAGCGUGCGUAGGCGGUUUGUUAAGUCUGCUGUGAAAUCCCCGGGCUCAACCUGGGAAUGGCAGUGGAUACUGGCAAGCUAGAGUGUGUCAGAGGAUGGUGGAAUUCCCGGUGUAGCGGUGAAAUGCGUAGAGAUCGGGAGGAACAUCAGUGGCGAAGGCGGCCAUCUGGGACAACACUGACGCUGAGGCACGAAAGCGUGGGGAGCAAACAGGAUUAGAUACCCCCGUAGUCCCUGUCUCUUAUAA
Molecule: ribosomal RNA, 301 nt
Filed under: uncultured bacterium
Lineage: Bacteria
Description: partial 16S ribosomal RNA
Rfam family: Bacterial small subunit ribosomal RNA
Source: RNAcentral